AACGAACGCUGGCGGCAGGCCUAACACAUGCAAGUCGAGCGAGGACUUCGGUUCUAGCGGCGGACGGGUGAGUAACGCGUGGGAAUGUUCCCUUCUCUACGGAAUAGCCCUGGGAAACUGGGAGUAAUACCGUAUACGCCCUAUUGGGGAAAGAUUUAUCGGAGAAGGAUCAGCCCGCGUUGGAUUAGGUAGUUGGUGGGGUAAUGGCCUACCAAGCCGACGAUCCAUAGCUGGUUUGAGAGGAUGAUCAGCCACACUGGGACUGAGACACGGCCCAGACUCCUACGGGAGGCAGCAGUGGGAAAUCUUAGACAAUGGGGGCAACCCUGAUCUAGCCAUGCCGCGUGAGUGAUGAAGGCCUUAGGGUUGUAAAGCUCUUUCAGCUGGGAAGAUAAUGACGGUACCAGCAGAAGAAGCCCCGGCUAACUCCGUG
This 433-nucleotide ribosomal RNA is filed under the name uncultured bacterium. RNAcentral's name for it is "partial 16S ribosomal RNA". It matches the Rfam family "Bacterial small subunit ribosomal RNA", at positions 29 to 507 of the family's 1533-position model. The record is from RNAcentral.